RNAcentral lists this ribosomal RNA (485 nucleotides) under uncultured bacterium. Its description in RNAcentral is "partial 16S ribosomal RNA". It matches the Rfam family "Bacterial small subunit ribosomal RNA", at positions 28 to 523 of the family's 1533-position model. The record is from RNAcentral.
GACGAACGCUGGCGGCGUGCUUAACACAUGCAAGUCGAACGAUGAAGCCCCAGCUUGCUGGGGUGGAAGAGUGGCGAACGGGUGAGUAACACGUGAGCAACCUGCCCCUGACUCUGGGAUAAGCGCUGGAAACGGCGUCUAAUACUGGAUAUGACACACGAUCGCAUGGUCAGUGUGUGGAAAGAUUUUUCGGUUGGGGAUGGGCUCGCGGCCUAUCAGCUUGAUGGUGAGGUAAUGGCUCACCAUGGCGACGACGGGUAGCCGGCCUGAGAGGGUGACCGGCCACACUGGGACUGAGACACGGCCCAGACUCCUACGGGAGGCAGCAGUGGGGAAUAUUGCACAAUGGGCGCAAGCCUGAUGCAGCAACGCCGCGUGAGGGAUGACGGCCUUCGGGUUGUAAACCUCUUUUAGUAGGGAAGAAGCGAAAGUGACGGUACCUGCAGAAAAAGCACCGGCUAACUACGUGCCAGCCGCCGCGGUAA